This 6724-nucleotide unclassified non-coding RNA is filed under the name Bombyx mandarina (wild silkworm). RNAcentral's name for it is "uncharacterized LOC114243694, transcript variant X5". Lineage: Eukaryota; Metazoa; Arthropoda; Insecta; Lepidoptera; Bombycidae. The record is from RNAcentral.
CCGCUGUACAUAUUAUAGGUAUUUAAUAUAAAACAACUGCGUCAGAACAUGCUUUAAUUGCUAGGAAAUAAUAUAUGUAGUGGUCGUUAUAAUAAGUAAACAAUGUGCGCAGUACGGCGAGACUGGAAACAAGUUUCCCUUACAAACGACGCUGUAGCGGGAAAAUGUGGAAACGUGAAAAACGCGCGCAUAGGGGUGGCAGCGGGGCAGCCAUUCCGUGGAUGAACGCGCGGCCGCGCGCCGCCUAAAUCGAUACGUCUCCGUUUUUACACUUCCAAAACGAAUAUUAUUUAAGAAAAAAAAUCUACUGUUUACCUCCAAAUUGUCAUCGUCAGUUUACAUUUCCGUACUUUUGUGAGUGUAAGUGAAAUUAUAUACGAGUACCUAGUAUCUUGGGAGUCUUACAAUAUGACAGCAGCACCGGCGGCAUCGUGUAUGAGCACUGAACACGGAUGCGUUAUGUUCGACUGCCUUGUUCAUCUAUGGGAAUGGCUCGAUCCUCCAUCAUCACAGACACAGUUCCAAAUGGAGAAUAAAAAGGCAGCGCCGGCAACACAACAACCUUUUACACAUCAACAUCUUAUGGCACAUCACGUACACCCUAAUGGGAUGUAUUCUCAACACCAUCCGCAACUAUCAGCCCACCUCACGUCUACACAAACAGAUCAAAUACCACCGAAUGGCGUCAUGCAUCAGUUAUUACAAAGUCAGUAUCACUCAAAUUUAGACGCACGAUCGCCACUAUUAGAAAACAGACAUGAACAGUAUGGCAGUGCGUAUAGUCAAAACCAAGAUUACGGAAGACAAUAUGGAGUCAAUGAUAAUUACAACAAUUACCAGCAGUCACCUCCAAGACCCGAACGAUCUGAAGUAUAUCUAGAUCAUAAUGUAAAUAGCUCACUCAACCAAAAUAUAUCAGCAGGCUACAACGUUGAAGUUUAUCAAGAUUAUUUAAAACGCAACCCACCGAAAGAUUCAAACCAAAUUUACCAAAACCAUCAGCCUACGUAUAGACCGAAUGCAAACCAAUACAGCUCUAAACCAUAUUUACCAUACUCUAAUAGAAUAGGGCCCCAAAGCAAUACAGAGUUGUUACGAAAACAGUACAACGAAAUUCAGCAGAUGAAAUUGCAGCAACAAAUACACUAUCAAAACCAGGCACAGAUGCAUCAACAACAAAAGUUCGCUGAGCGACAACUUCUUUUACAGCAAAUCCAUGGGGUUCAGCCACCUCCCAAUUUACAAAAUAGUAUAUAUUCAGAUAGUUCUUACCGUGAUUUAGAUAGAUAUAGUUCUAAAAAUGAUUAUAAGGAUUAUAGCAGUCCAGAAACACCAAAAGACAUAGAAAAGUAUGAGAAGAACAAUGACUAUCGCGAGGUGGAAAAUCGUAACCGUCAGUACCAAGAGCCUCAGUGGCAACACAAUCAACAAACAGAAUACAGAGAACAACAUGAAGUUCACAAAAGGCUAGCAGAAGGAGACAAAGGAAUCAAUAAACCCUCAAAUUCAGCUGGUCAAAAUCAAAAAAAUAACGUAGUUUCCCCUAUGAAGUCAACAAGCGAGUCCAGUUCUCCAAGUGUGAAGUCACCGUCUUCAGAGAGUCGGAGAAGUAGCAGCGGAACCCAAGCACUGAGAUCACCAACAGCUCAACGAAUACCAUCUGCCCCGGUAACAGUAGCCGGUAUUUUGUAUAAACAAGGAUCGGAUGGCCUAAAAGUAUGGCGCAAGAGAUGGUUUGUGCUAUCCGAAUACUGCUUAUUUUACUAUAAAAGUCAAGAAGAGGAAAAGUUACUGGGGUCCGUUUUGUUACCUUCAUACAAAGUGUCCGUUUGUACCGCAGAAGACAAAGUACUCCGAAAGUUUGCGUUCAAAUUAGAGCAUGCGAAUAUGAGAACGUAUGUACUGGCAGCACCCGACCAAGAAGCCAUGAUGAAGUGGAUGAAGGCUUUGACGAUGGCCGCGGUCAUGCAAACUCCCAACGAUCCACCACACAGUCGAAACGAUUUGUCCACUACCAAAGCAGAGGACGGCGAAGAUAUACCGAUGUAUGCGAAUGCACCACCAAAACCUAGACGCUCCAACGAGGGAUUCAAUUCGCCAAGCCCGGAUAUGUACGAUCCAAAUUAUGACCUACUCAAAAAACCGGCGUCGCAUUACAGCCAAAGCAUCAGUCACAUACGAAACCAAGAACACAACUACUCGAGCACAACUCAAGACCAGAUUUAUACACAAAGUCCACAGUCACCGUCGCAACAACAACGCACACAUCACCAGAAAAGACCAUACGAUUCGCACAAUCUCUCGUUGCCAUUAACAAACACCGCAAUGGAUAGAUUAGAGAACGAGCCGAGCACGUCAACGAAUGAUUUUAACUCUCGGUCUUUUGAUAGGAGUCGAGGAAUGCAGCACCAAUCUCAGGAGCAGCGCAAUAAAAACGAACAAAUUUACGAGCGGCAACCGCAAAAGAAUCCGUUCUUGCACGAGCCAACCCCGAAAACGGGUAGCUCGUAUAAUAUCGAUAUGAAUGCGCCGAAUCAAAAUUAUCAGACGAGAGGAAGUGAUAUACCACAAUCGGGUAAUAGAGAUGAUCAUUCAGGAGUGAAUUUGACGCCGAAUCCGGUUGAGUCCGCCAGAGAUUUGUAUGGAGAAUUAGAUUCUCGGGUGAGUAGAUCUAAUAGCGCAGCCAACGAGCGGCUAUUGAUGGAGAGGCGAACUCCUGACGCGUACGGUAGAUCUACGACCAUGUCGUCCUACAACAAAGAGAAGACGGGAGACUACGAGGAUAUAUACGGCAUUUACGGAGUGGAAAACGAUUAUGGUAAAAUGACCACUAAAUCGUCAAGCAUUAAUGAAACUAAAGAUAAUGCCAGCAGUCACCAACAUCAGUUGCAACACAAUGUUCAAGAGAAAACCUUUAGUGGCCCGUCAGUUCUGAGGAAGAAAAAAAUGCAAUCGAGCGGUAUCCAACCACCGAUGCCUAGGCCUCAUAGUGCUGAUUUUCUCGAAUACGAAGCGAAGAAUGAAAUGAAAAAUAAAUCUAUGCCAACGAGGACAGCCCACGAUCAAACUCGGCAGCCGCAAAGACCAAAAUCUAGUCUCGACAUCAAUUCUUACUACGACCCCAGCUCCGAGACAUAUUAUUCGGAGGAGAGCUACGCCGAAAAAAUGCGGCAGUCGGUCCAAUAUUUACAACAAGGAAUGAGGGCUCGUAACAUGGAGAUACCUUUGGCGAAGUACGCAAGUGGCCUCGCCCAAAAGCAGUUGAGCACCGCCUAUUCUCAAAUCACAAAUCAUAACUACAACCCUGAUUUGAAUACGACGAAUAGGCUUAGUCGUGAUCAGGUCAGUCAUAGCUCGAAGUCGGACGUGGAAGCUAUGAACUCUAAUUGGACAUUGAAAGAAAAGAAUGCCGAAAAUCAAAAAGACUACAUGAACAGAAGUGGAAGUGUAAUGAGCGAUGGAUCUAAUGCGAGUGCAAUGGUCAAGGAUGCUAGGUACGAUCCAAAUGGCGAAGGAUUUUUGAGGUCUGCCAGUGCCAGGCUACCGUCAGCAACGGAAAAGGAAGGCGAUAAGAAAGUGCAACAGCGCGAAGAAUCAAUGAAGCGUUUAUUAGAAUGGAAACAGCGAAUGUUACAAUCUCCGUUGACGAGAAAAAGUACACCGGCCACAAUAUCUCUGGCUCGUUCUUUGAAUCAAAGUCGACAGUCGCUACGAUCUGAUCAGUAUAAGCCGAAGACAUUUUCUAACGCUUCGUACAACAGCUACUCUUCUGAUGAUGAAGCUUCUAUGACAAUGUCAAGUAACUUAGAACAACGCAUGAAUAACAGUUCAAAUAAUCAACAAGCAUUGUCAAAGAAAGCUUUUGUCGGAAGUAAUACUUCAAUUGGAAGAAACAACAGAGAUACUAAUAUACCCGUACGCGCUGUGAGUCCAAGGGUGAGAUGGGUGGAAGAUAAACCACCUGCUGAUACCUACGGCUCCCAACAGAUGUCGACUUCGCAGCAAAAUUUAUAUGCAUUGGCUACUGAGGAUUCAUGGGCAAUGACAAGAUCACCAUCUAGAGCUUCUCAACAGCCAAUUAGUGCUGUUAGCCCAAGGGUUCGAAGGAAUAACGAGAACAACGAAAUGCAAAGAGGUGUUCAGCAACAUGGUCAGAUAGAUCAAUUUGGUGAAAUACCAACCGCUGGUGAAUUGCUUGGUCGCACACACGAAGAGCUGGUGUUGCUGUUGAUACAGUUAAGAAGACGUCACGCAGCAACGCAUCGAGCUAUAGAACAGUGUUGUACACAAAUUAGUAGUAUCGAGGAAUGUUUGAGCUCUUUGAAAGCCGCAGAACGAGACGAGAGUCUGAAAAGAUUGGAACAACUGAAAAUGCAAUUGAUGGAAUUGGAACAUCAGUAUGAAAAAAGCAAACCUUUGGUCCAGCUAGUGGAUAAUAUGGUGAAGCUGGGCUCAUUAUAUAAUCGGCCAGGAUCUACUAUAGAACGGCUGGAAAGGAACCAGAGACUGAGACAAAAAGUUUUGGCCGAACACGCUUUAGAACAACAAAGAUGGUUAGAGAGUGUGGCUGCAGGCAAGCCCCUAGAAACAGAAGCAGCGAGAGCGAGAGUAGCAGAAUUGUGGUCGCUGGAACAGGAACUGGCACACGAAGCCGAUAUACUGCAAGGAUUCAAGUCAAAUAAAGAUACUAUUGAGAAUUUGCUAUCAGGUGUCCGUGAUAACGUGCAGACUCACAAAGUUAAUAAUGUUUAUGAAGGAAAUGGCGGUCCGGGUCGAUCGAAGGCGGUUCCAGGCGAAGACUUGGAAGCUGAACUGGCCAGAGUACACGCGAUGUUGGCGCACAAUUCUAAGGUUUAUAAGAAACUGGAACAAACAGUGGCCGAUAAUGCGCGUCUCGAACGAGAGUUACACCAGCUACGGCGCGCGCUGCAGGCUCGCCGGGCCUCGGCGCCCGCGCACCCCACUGCGAUGCUUGAAGACGAAGUGACCAGAGUCCAGCAACUAGUGUCAGCUCUGCAGCGACAGCGGCAAGAGUUGAGUAGAGCCGUCAGACAUCUCACACAACAGUCUCAAGCAUUGCAGAGCACGCAGGACUCUAACCCUGGUAAAAACCGGUCUAUGUCGUCAUGGCAAGAGACCAAUUUAGACACUGGACACACGAUCGACCACGGCCAUUCAGAUUACGAAUACGAGAGCCCCCUACUGCCUCCAGGAUACUACGACCCCAACCAUGUGGUCACACCGUUAUAUGUGGACACGGGAGUGCCCACGCUAGAUGUGACGUCACCGCAGAAUGACGACAUGCACGGAGGCUUCGCAAACCUAUCCAACGUCGAGAAGCAGGAGAUCAAAACGGUACGCAUCGUCAAACGUGAGAGCGAAAGACGCCAACGCGACCGCGAACGUUCCUUACAGCCAAUGUCGGAUUGGCCCAACAAUGUUACGGCCAACAUCGAGCAGUUACUUGAAGAGGAGCUCGCGCAGCCCACCAACUACUCGAGGGCUGCCUCAGUCCCGCGAACCGAAUACAAAUACGACAACUACUACACCAGGCCCCAACCCGCGCCGCACGUUCGAUCUAAUGACAAAAACCCAGACCUCAGUCCCAAAUACGUGUCAAGUCCGUCUUUGUCGAAUUACGAUUAUUCCCGAGACAUCUCCUCGCUGAGCAGCAGCUACAACAAAAGCUACGAUCGUUCCGGUUACGACAGGACCAUUUCUCUUUCGACUCAGUACCUGAACAGUCCCACGGAUAGUUCUAGAACGUUGACCAACGAUCCACUAUCGAAGACGAGUAGCAUCGUCAGCCUGACCAGAUCCAACAUGGAGCUGUCCCCUAUAUUCAAGAGCGAGGCGGCCAAGCAGAUCAUCACGGAGAUGUCUUCGGAUGCCCCCAAGAACGGUUCGUUGCACAGAAGACAAGUGCCGAAAGAGAAGAGGCGGCACAACACCGCGCCUCAUCACCUCAGCGCGAAGACUCUCUAUGAAAUACCCAAAGAUACUCCCAAUCAAGACACGAUGGCGCGGUCUGUGGACGACGCGGACAUGGAGCGCGCGCUGCGCGGGGCGGCGCCGGACGUGGUGCGCUCGGCGCUGCCGCCGCGCGACUUGCGCCGGGCCGACAACACCAUCGACCAGCUGCUCGCCGCGCCGCAGAAGAUCGUCAUUCCCGAGAGAUAUAUCCCAGAAAAGCCACCAGAGCUGUCUCCGGAAGAACAGCAGAAGAGACAGGAGAAAGUUGAAUCAAUAAAGAAGAUGUUGACCAGUACGUCUGCCGAUCAGAGCAAGAGCCCCCAGCCGGAGGAAAAGCGGCGGCGCGAGCAUCUGCUGCAGAUGAACCAGAUCCUCGCCAAGCAGGUCACCGAGAUGAGCAAAAUUAUCGCCGGAAACAACUCGGAACAAGGGCCGUCCGCCUCAAACAAUUGAUAGGCUUUACACCCGAACAUGAUAUAAUAUAACAUAAAAAUGCACAUCCUCUCACCACAUCCCUAUAGUUCACAUUACACUCGACUUAAUAUUCUAAACGAUUGGCUGAAACCGGACGGACGGUCCUUCGAAGAAAUCUGAAAUGCGGAGUCGCAGCAUGAUAGCCUUUUGCGCAUUUUGUUGAAAGCGUUGGAGGAGCUGCCGCUAAAUCAGAGUGACCCAGAGGCGGAGGAUCGUUCGCCGGACGUCGAACUACCGAUUUAUCAACAGCGCGACAACUUUUUCACAUAAAAACCCA